CCCAGCUGUAUACAAUUGCUUAGGUUACAUUGUACCUGGACAAGUGUUACACAGCUGGGGAAAAAGCAGCUAAUAGCUGGAGGGCAUCCUGGGCCAGGUUUAUGCCAAAUU
RNAcentral lists this small nucleolar RNA (111 nucleotides) under Ochotona princeps (American pika). Its description in RNAcentral is "Small nucleolar RNA SNORA74 (ENSOPRG00000024243.1)". Lineage: Eukaryota; Metazoa; Chordata; Mammalia; Lagomorpha; Ochotonidae. The record is from RNAcentral.